This is a non-coding RNA of Blepharisma stoltei, 83 nucleotides long. The record is from the annotation of a GenBank genome assembly. Lineage: Eukaryota; Ciliophora; Heterotrichea; Heterotrichida; Blepharismidae.
GGCUGUUUGCCCGAGGGGUUAAGGGGGCAGACUCAAGAUCUGCUGGAUGAAAGUCCGCAUGGGUUCAAAUCCCAUAGCAGCCA